This 407-nucleotide ribosomal RNA is filed under the name uncultured bacterium. Its description in RNAcentral is "partial 16S ribosomal RNA". It matches the Rfam family "Bacterial small subunit ribosomal RNA", at positions 28 to 526 of the family's 1533-position model. The record is from RNAcentral.
GACGAACGCUGGCGGCGUGCCUAAUACAUGCAAGUAGAACGCAGUUGCGAACGGGUGAGUAACGCGUAGGUAACUGCCUGGUAGCGGGGGAUAACUAUUGGAAACGAUAGCUAAUACCGCAUACUACCAGAUGGACCUGCGUUGUAUUAGCUAGUUGGUGGGGUAACGGCUCACCAAGGCAACGAUACAUAGCCGACCUGAGAGGGUGGACGGGCACACUGGGAGUGAGAAACGGCCCAGACUCCUACGGGAGGCAGCCGUAGGGGAUCAUUGGAAAUGGACGGAAGUCUGACCGAGCAAAGCCGCGGGAGUGAAGAAGGGUUUCGGAGGGUAAAGCUCGGUUGUAAGAGAAGCGAUAUCUUACCAGAAAGGGACGGCUAACUACGUGCCAGCCGCCGCGGUAAUAC